CCGGCACGGUGGACUGAGAGCCCGCGGCGGCGGAGGAGCGUUUGCCGGGCUGCCGCCAGCGUGUCCCCCAGCGCCGGGCCGGGCUCGGCACCGGGCCCCCUCCCCGUCGCCCCGGCUCGGGUGGGGGCUUUUCCCGCUUCCCUUCUUUCUUUCCGUCCCUAUGGAGCAGCCGCCCCCGCCGGUCGACCAUGCCUAGGAAAGCGGGGAAUGGGCAGCUCCCCUUACCCGAUGGCUGGGAGGAGGCGAGGGAUUACGACGGCAAAGUCUUUUACAUCGACCACAACACCAAGCAGACCAGCUGGAUCGACCCCAGGGACAGGUUAACAAAACCCUUGUCGUUUGCGGAUUGUGUUGGGGAUGAGCUACCAUGGGGAUGGGAAGCUGCAUACGAUCCUCAGAUUGGUGUGUACUAUAUCGAUCACAUCAACCAAACGACGCAAAUAGAAGAUCCCAGGAAACAAUGGAGGCAAGAACAAGAGAGAAUGCUGAAAGAUUACCUUAUGGUAGCCCAGGAUGCUCUCAGUACUCAGAAGGAACUAUACCAGGUGAAAGAACAGAGGCUAGCACUUGCACUGGAUGAGUAUGUACGGUUGAAUGAUGCCUACAAAGAAAAAUCAAGCUCUCGUACAAGCUUAUUCUCGGGCUCUUCAUCAAGUACAAAGUAUGACCCUGACAUUCUGAAGGCUGAAAUCUCCACUACAAGAUUGAGGGUUAAGAAGCUGAAGAGGGAACUCUCUCAGAUGAAGCAGGAGCUGCUGUACAAGGAACAGGGCUUUGAAACACUGCAACAAAUUGACCAAAAAAUGUCUGGAGGCCAGAGCGGGUAUGAACUAUGUGAGGCCAAAGCCAUCCUGAGUGAACUGAAAUCCAUCAGAAAGGCAAUAAGUUCAGGGGAGAGAGAAAAACAAGAUUUAAUGAAGAGUCUUGCAAAGCUGAGAGAGAAAUUCAAUCUUGACCAGAACAUUGGGACAUCAGAACCAGACCUGAGUUCCAGCUCUGUAAAUUCCCAGCUGUGUUUUUCUAGACAAACUCUGGAUACAGGGUCUCAGACUGACAUUUCUGGUGAGGUUGGAGCAAGAAGUAGAUCCAAUUUAGCAGAGAAGGUCAGACUAAGUCUUCAAUAUGAAGAGGCAAAAAGAAGCAUGGCUAACUUGAAGAUUGAACUGUCUAAGUUGGAUAGCGAGGCCUGGCCUGGGGCACUGGAUGUAGAAAAGGAAAAACUGAUGUUAAUCAAUGAAAAAGAAGAGCUUUUAAAAGAACUCCAGUUUAUUACACCACGCAAACGUACUCAAGAUGAGCUAGAGCAGCUGGAAGCAGAAAGAAAGAGGCUUGAAGAAGAGCUGCACUCUGUAAAAAGUGCACCCAGUCAAGCGCUUGCUGAAAGAUUGAAAUUGGAGGAAAGAAGAAAAGAAUUGGUACAGAAACUUGAAGAAACUACAAAAUUGACGACUUAUUUGCAUUCACAACUUAGGAGCCUCUCAGCUAGUACGCUAUCUGUGUCGUCAGGGAGCAGUCUGGGAUCUCUGGCAUCCAGCCGGGGAUCCCUGAACACAUCAAGCAGAGGGUCGCUCAACUCGCUCAGCUCAAUGGAUCUCUAUUAUAACCAAGGCGAUCAAAUAACAGAUUUGGACUAUCAGUAUAAGCUUGACUUCAUAUUGCAAGAAAAAAGUGGUUACAUUCCUUCGGGGCCCAUCACUACUAUUCAUGAAAAUGAAGUGGUCAGCUCCCAUGGGAGACUGGGUUACAGUGACUCUCCUUCAGCCGCAGACCAGCCCAAACUGACUGAGCCUCCCAAAUCCGUGACAUCGCUGUCUUCCAGGUCCUCGCUGUCCUCCUUGUCUCCCCCAGGCUCCCCUUUGGUUUUAGAAGCUGCAUUUUCUGUUUCUGCUCAAAAUUCCCCUCUGCAUCACCUCACUACAGACUUUGAAGACUGUGAUUUUGCAGGCAUUAGUCUCUGUGAGAACCAAAUAUUAUUGGACUCUGAAGCCAGAGCGGGAUCUCAGAUUCCAACAGACGAUAAAGAUCUUAAUGAAAGCAUUAGGCAGCCUCUGUCUUCUCUACAUGAAAGAAGUUCAGGUGUUGACUUGUCAAGAAGAGCAGCUAGUCAUCUGCUUGCAGAGAAGACAGCUUGUGUAUCUGCUGCCGUGUCUGAUGAGUCUGUAGCUGGAGACAGUGGUGUAUAUGAAGCUUCUGUGAAACAACCAAAUGAAACUGAGGACAUUGUAUACAGUGAAGAUGAUGCAACAGCGCUAGAGGCUGCCCAAGUUCAAAUAGGACUCAGAUAUGACCGCAGCAAUUCAAGUUUUGUGAUAAUCAUAGUCCAGCUCAGAAAUCUUCCAGUGUUUUCUGUUCCCCUUGGCUCUAAAGUGUAUAUUAGAGUAGCAGUACUUCCAUCCUCAGCUGAUACCAGCUGUCUGUUUCGCACAAAAGUUCAUCCUGCCAUGGAAACCAUUUUACUCAACGAGAUAUUCAGAGUUGCCAUUUCCCAAGGAACGCUGCUACAGAAGACACUGAGAGUAGAUGUUUGUGCCGUCAGUAGAAGCUGUCGUGAAGAAUGCUUGGCUGGAACUCAGAUCAGUCUGGCAGAUUUAUCAUUUUCUGAUGAGACUUGUACUCUGUGGUAUAACCUUCUGUCUUGCAAGCAAAUCCCUGGCAAAAAAAACAAGGAUCAAAAUGAAGAACCAAUGUUUCUUUUAAGCAAGCAAUCAUCAGACUCAUUGGACUUGCAGGAUGCUGUGUCUGCUCUGCUGGAGAGAACAUCCGCUGAGCUGGAAGCAGUAGAACAAGAGCUGGCUGAAGAUGAUGAGGAGGAGGAUGAACACGAGCAAAGGGGCUCUGAGGAAGACUGGUUAGAAAUGCUUGCAGAAGCAUCUGAUGAAAUUGGGGAUGAAGAGGAAGAUGGCAUUAAGCUGGCAGUAGAAGGCAACUGUACCGAUGACAUGGGGUUAUUCAUUGAUGCUGUAGAAACUGAGGAAGACAAGAACAGACAGAACAGAGAUGAGGCCCGUGAAAGCCAGCAAGCUGCUGUCAUACUAACACUGGUUGAUAAAGAGACUAACACUGAGGAAUCAGUUAACGAGAAUGCAACAGUCCGACCCAAGGACAGAGCCAGCUGGAGCUCAAGACAGCGUCCCUUUGUCAGGAACAGCAUGAUUGUGCGCUCACAAACCUUCUCGCCAGGCGAGCGGAACCAAUACAUCUGUAGGUUGAGUCGAAGUGACAGCGACAGCUCAACACUAGCCAAAAAGUCUCUCUUUGUGAGAAAUGCCACAGAAAGGAGGAGCCUAAGAGUCAAACGGCCUGUUUGCCAACCAAUCAUGCGAAGAGCUACGCAAGAGUGCCCUGUACGCACUUCCCUCGACUUGGAGCUGGACCUCCAGGCAUCACGCACACGACAGAAUCGCCUGAAUGAUGAGCUUCAGGCCUUGCGGGAUCUUAAGCAGAAGCUUGAGGAAAUGAAAGGUAGAGGAGAGACAGACCUUCCCCUGUGCAUACUGGAGGAUGAACGAUUCCAGAAACUCUUGAAACAGGCUGAGAAACAGUUAUUUUACAGGCUGAACAGUCAAAAGAAGAGCAGAAGAGAGGUUUAAGUGCUGAGAAACUGAUGAGGAAAGCUUCGAAGGAUGUAUGCCGGCUACGGGAGCAGAGUCAGAAAGUGCCGCUACAGGUGCAGUCAUUCAGGGAGAAGAUAGCAUAUUUCACAAGAGCGAAGAUCAGUAUACCAGCCCUUCCAGCUGAUGAUGUAUAAUUAUGCAUUUUCAUUGAAGUGUUUUUUUCCAUUGCUCAUCUUUUUUUUUUUUAAUGAACUUUGUAGUUCUAGUGACCUGCUUUUACAGCUCUUCUAUUUUACAUUCAAUAUUGAUACGUUUAUUUGUAAAAUACAGUGAAUUGAAAUGUUGUAUGUCUAAAAAAAAAAAAAAGACAAAAAAAAAAGGAAAACCAAAGUAGAUCAAUUUUGGUAUACUGAUGCUGAUUUUGUACAGUUUGUAUGUAUUGCAUGUGUUUUUAUUUUGUAAAGAUGGAACAAAGGAACAAAGGCAGUACUAAGUGUGUAUCCUGUUGAACCGCACUGUAUUGAGAAAUAUUACGUUCAACAGAAGAUUGUUUAUCUUUUCACUAUUUUCAUGUGAGCAGACUGUGAAGAUGGCUGUUUUGCCACGCAAUAUUUUUGUAUAAGAGUGUGACUUUUGUAGUUUGAAGUUAACUACAAGUGUAAGCUUUUUUCCAAAACAUCAAGGCUGCCUCACAACAGCUGCUAAUUAGAUUCAUCACCCACAUUGGAGUUCUAUUUCUGAAAAUAAAUUUCUUCUGUUCUUUGUAAUAUUGUGUAGGGAGAGACAAAAUUCAGAGUUAAGUUUUGUGAAUGUACAGUACUUAAACCUGCACUAAAAGGUUUCUUGCAUCUGUGGGAGAGUGGGGAAAGACAAGGCAGACAAGCAACCCUAAAAACCUCCUCUGAGACUACCAAAAGGGCAGCUGCUUUCUGAACUGGAAGCUGAAUCAAAUUUGUAAUACCAACAGUGAAAUCAGAAUAGUUAUAUCUACUACUCUUAGAAAUGAGGUUCUCUAUAUUAGUCUUUUGUCCUCAAGGCUGCCUUAUUGCCAUCUAGGAGAAUAUAAACGUGUUCAUUAGGUUUACAACUAUGAAGCGGAUUUUAUGAACGUAUUUGUACCAGGAGAAAAGUUUGACCUACAGUAACUCAGAUAUCAGAAGUUUGUUGGUGAAGUAAACUCUCCCUGAAAAAGUAAAGAUCCUGACCAGAAGGCUUCAUCUAUUUCAGUGCAAUCACAUUUUUGAAAAUACACAGGUGACUGUGUGCAGAUGAGGGUGCACAGGAUUAAGAAAUAAAUGUGGACAGCACACAUCAGAUAAGUUUUACUAGAGCCAGCCUCCUAGGAAGAAGCAUCAACUGGAAUUAUUCUAAGUCCAGAAUGUUAGAUGUGUGUGUUUACACAGCCCUGUCUUGGUAAAGCAGUUGGGUUUCUUCUUCUGUGUGGACUCUGCAAGUAGGCAGACAGUGUAGAGAGCAACAUUAUUUCAUUUUCUUCAUCGUAUGUUGCACUCAGAUGCAUUUAAUUCAGUGUCUAAAGUUUUCUUCCCCAAGCAGCAACCCAUACAUGCAUGGUCAUAUCUCUCAAAGGGGUUAUAAUUGGUGAGAAAAUGGAAGUGAAUAUAACUAACAUUAUGGUAGCAGCUGUCUGAAAUUCACAGUGACAAUUCUGUGAUGAGAGGUCGGUGUAAGCCUUACCCAAGGGCUUUCUUAUGCACAAACACGUCAGUUCACUUAAAUGUAUAGCCAGACGUGCUAUUUUGGGCAAGACGACUGGUUAAACAUCAUUUAUGAAUGCCCCAUUUAUUUUUUCUUGGUUGAGUUUGAGAUAACAUGUUUGAAAGGUCAAUUAAAAAAAAAAAUCUGGAAUUAUUUAAUAUAGAGGUGAAAUGAAGGUUGACAGUUUCAACUUCUCAAUUUGAUUAUAUGUUUGUAGAAUGAUGUUUAGAGGUGUACUUUGUGAUUUUUCUUUUAUUUAUUUACAGUCUUAUUUAUGUUGUGUUUAAUAUAGUUCAGUUCUGGCCAUAAAAAUAUUUGACAUACAAUGCUAUUGUGAAAAGUAUUUGGAGCUGUCUGAAUUCUUGCCAGAUUAGCUGGUUUUCUUCACAUGUUGAAUAAUUUUCAAAAAAGUAUUAUAUAUUUGUAAGCAUAGAGUAAGGCCAAAAUUUAAGGAUUGCUAGCCUUAGCUCACAAAACUCAUUGCAAAAUGCACCUCAUUUUGCAAAUUGGUAAAGUUGAACAUAUUUAUAGGCAGCUUUUAACAAUUCUGCUUUUUUUAAAAUUAAAUUUAAAUUAUCCGACCUCAAAACACUCAAUAGAAUAAGCUAACACAAAUAAUCCUGUCGGUUUACAAUUACAGAUAUUACUCAAAGCAGAAUUUACUCUGCACAGCAGGGUAUAACAAAUGCAGUUAGCUCUGUUUCCAGGUACCACUAUCACUGCAGUUGCAGAUAUCAAAAAUCUAAAUAUUACUGGUACAAGAAUAUUUAACCAAAUGAACAAAGGUAGGAAAAAAAUUGUAAUAGAACACAAAUCAAAUACAGUUUUUUAAAAAAUAUUGCUAUGUUUAUACUGUAUUAAAUAUCAAAUGCUCAGGACUGAACUAAAUAUUUAAUCAGGUUAUAUUCUGAAUGUGGUUCUGUUCUAAUUUUGUCUGUAAAAGUAUGCAAAUACAUCACAUAGAUUAACUUGUCUCUGCACUUUCCAUGUGUUUCAGUGAUUGGAAAAUACAUUUUUUUUAACAAA
Molecule: RNA transcript, 6296 nt
Organism: Numida meleagris (helmeted guineafowl)
Lineage: Eukaryota; Metazoa; Chordata; Aves; Galliformes; Numididae
Gene: WWC2
Gene name: WW and C2 domain containing 2
Exons: 23
Source: RefSeq, a predicted model, not a curated record